CCUACGGGAGGCAGCAGUGGGGAAUAUUGGACAAUGGGGGAAACCCUGAUCCAGCAAUGCCGCGUGGGUGAUGAAGGCCUUCGGGUUGUAAAGCCCUUUUGGCGGGGACGAUGAUGACGGUACCCGCAGAAUAAGCCCCGGCUAACUUCGUGCCAGCAGCCGCGGUAAUACGAAGGGGGCUAGCGUUGUCCGGAUUUACUGGGUUUAAAGGGUGCGUAGGCGGACGAUUAAGUCAGUGGUGAAAGCCUGUAGCUUAACUACAGAAGUGCCACUGAAACUGGUUGUCUUGAGUACGGUUGAGGUUGUUGGAAUGCAUCAUGUAGCGGUGAAAUGCUUAGAUAUGAUACAGAACACCAAUUGCGAAGGCAGACAACUAAGCCGUAACUGACGCUGAGGCACGAAAGCGUGGGGAGCAAACAGGAUUAGAUACCCUGGUAGUCCACGCUGUAAACGUUGAUUACUCGCUGCUGGCGAUACACAGUCAGCGGCUAAGCGAAAGCGUUAAGUAAUCCACCUGGGAAGUACGAUCGCAAGAUUGAAACUCAAAGGAAUUGACGG
RNAcentral lists this ribosomal RNA (558 nucleotides) under uncultured bacterium. RNAcentral describes it as "bacterial SSU rRNA". It matches the Rfam family "Bacterial small subunit ribosomal RNA", at positions 338 to 916 of the family's 1533-position model. The record is from RNAcentral.